Molecule: long non-coding RNA, 223 nt
Filed under: Eucalyptus grandis
Lineage: Eukaryota; Viridiplantae; Streptophyta; Magnoliopsida; Myrtales; Myrtaceae
Description: long non-coding RNA (EGRA_LNC007028)
Source: RNAcentral
GGGCGCGUUUGGCAACGAUUCUGUUCCCGGGAGCUGAUUCUGACUAGAAAUGAUUAUUUUUGAUUAUGUUCCCGGGAACUGAUUCUGAGUAAAAAAGCGCGUUUUGUAACUGUUUAAAAUUUUUGAUUCUGGAAUAGAAUUGCGUUUGGUACCAUAUUAAUUGAUUCUGUUCCAAAUUAAUUUCUUUUGAUUUUUAAAUAAAUUUUAAAUAAUUUCUUUACUU